UACGGGGGGGGCAAGCGUUGUUCGGAAUUACUGGGCGUAAAGGGCUCGUAGGCGGCCAUCUAAGUCGGACGUGAAAUCCCUCGGCUUAACCGGGGAACUGCGUCCGAUACUGGAGGGCUCGAGUGUGGGAGAGGGAUGCGGAAUUCCAGGUGUAGCGGUGAAAUGCGUAGAUAUCUGGAGGAACACCGGUGGCGAAGGCGGCAUCCUGGACCAUUACUGACGCUGAGGAGCGAAAGCCAGGGGAGCAAACGGG
Molecule: ribosomal RNA, 253 nt
Filed under: uncultured bacterium
Lineage: Bacteria
Description: partial 16S ribosomal RNA
Rfam family: Bacterial small subunit ribosomal RNA
Source: RNAcentral